Molecule: ribosomal RNA, 524 nt
Filed under: uncultured bacterium
Lineage: Bacteria
Description: bacterial SSU rRNA
Rfam family: Bacterial small subunit ribosomal RNA
Source: RNAcentral
GCAAUACGAUACCCAGGUAGUCCACGCCGUAAACGAUGAGUACUAGGUGUAGGAGGUAUCGACCCCUUCUGUGCCGCAGUAAACACAAUAAGUACUCCGCCUGGGAAGUACGAUCGCAAGAUUAAAACUCAAAGGAAUUGACGGGGGGCCCGCACAAGCAGCGGAGCAUGUGGUUUAAUUCGAAGCAACGCGAAGAACCUUACCUGGACUUGACAUACCCUGAAUAGCGCAGAGAUGCAUGAAGCCCUUCGGGGCAGGGAUACAGGUGGUGCAUGGUUGUCGUCAGCUCGUGUCGUGAGAUGUUAGGUUAAGUCCUGCAACGAGCGCAACCCCUGUUGUUAGUUGCUAACAUUAAGUUGAGCACUCUAGCAAGACUGCCGCGGUUAACGCGGAGGAAGGUGGGGAUGACGUCAAAUCAUCAUGCCCCUUAUGUCCAGGGCAACACACGUGCUACAAUGGGCAGUACAGAGAGAAGCAAGACCGCGAGGUGGAGCAAACCUCAAAAACUGCCCCAGUUCGGAUUG